GAUGAAGAACGUAGCAAAAUGCGAUACUUGGUGUGAAUUGCAGAAUCCUGUGAACCAUCGAGUCUUGAACGCAAGUUGCGCCCGAAGCCACUAGGCCGAGGGCACGCCUGCCUGGGCGUCACACGCCGUUGCCCCCCCAUCUACUCCUUCGGGAUUGCGGGGGGGCGGAUGAUGGCCUCCCGUGCGCCUAGCCGCGCGGUUGGCAUAAAUACCAAGUCCUCGGCGACGCACGCCACGACAAUCGGUGGUUGCGAAACCUCGGUUGCCCGUCGUGUGCGUUCGUCGCGCAUCGAGGGCUCGAAAAAAUGCUCGGCUCCGGCUGGGCUUUCAACGCGACCCCAGGUCAGGCGGGGUUACCCGCUGAAUUUAAGCAUAUCAAUAAGCGGAGGA
Molecule: unclassified non-coding RNA, 390 nt
Filed under: soil metagenome
Description: partial contains 5.8S ribosomal RNA, internal transcribed spacer 2, and large subunit ribosomal RNA
Rfam family: 5.8S ribosomal RNA (bases 1-121)
Source: RNAcentral